AUGGCUCGUCAAUUUGGCCGUAUUUUGGAGACCGGGGAGGCUGGAGACGUGACCUUUGAGGCGCAUAGGCAUCUGCUCGCUGCUCGAUCGCCGGUGUUCAUGGCGCAGCUCUUCGGUCCCAUGAUGGAGAAUGAUGCAAAGAGUAUACAGAUUGAUGACAUGGAAGCCAAGGUUUUCAAGAUGAUGCUCCACUUUAUUUACACGGACACACUGCCUAAUAUAGAUGAAGGUGAAAUCGUGGAGAUGGCUCAACAUCUGUUUGUGGCGGCAGACAGAUACAAUCUGGAGAGGCUCAAAUUGAUUUGCGCGAAUAUGUUGUGCAACUACAUGGAUGUAAGUACAGUGGCAACUACAUUGGCACUGGCUGAGCAGCAUGAUCGUGACAGGCUUAAGGAGGUAUGCUACAGGUUCCUCGCGUCUUUUCAAAAUUUGAAGGCAGUUACGCUGACUGAUGGCUUUAAGCAUCUCAAGAUCAUUCGCCCCAAUAUUCUAGAGGAGCUACUCGGUCGUUAG
Molecule: ribosomal RNA, 513 nt
Filed under: Triticum aestivum (bread wheat)
Lineage: Eukaryota; Viridiplantae; Streptophyta; Magnoliopsida; Poales; Poaceae
Description: partial small subunit ribosomal RNA
Source: RNAcentral